Non-coding RNA from Poecilia reticulata (guppy), 1145 nucleotides. The record is from RefSeq and is a predicted model, not a curated record. NCBI's taxonomy places the organism in Eukaryota, Metazoa, Chordata, Actinopteri, Cyprinodontiformes, Poeciliidae.
GCAAGUAGAGAUCCGAAUCGGAGUGAGUGAAGGCGGAGGUGACGUCAUCGAGUAUGCUGUUGGAGAAAGCGGGAGCCUGGGAUGUUUGAACUUCGGUGGUGGUUGUGCGGUUGAUUGUGAGUUUCGGAGGAGGAACGCUGAAAUGAGGAUAUGUUUGUGAUGCUUGGCUAAGAGGUUCUGGAGUUUGCGGUGAUCCGAGAAGAGUCUGGCACUCGGGUGGAGGUCUGAGCCGGUGUCGGAGAUGACGUCACCGGAGAUCUUGGAUGAGGAAACGGACUUUGAAGGACUUGCUGGGCGGCUGAAAGGGAUUCGUUUCUCCUGUAGAGAGCGUUGGAGGCGAGGAAUUGAGACUUAGAUGGGUUGAUGCGCCUGCGAUGCAGUGCUGAGGUGAGGAAGGGUUGGUGUUGUUUAGCUGAAAUGACUCUGGGAGACGGCGGUGGCCCGGAAGAACGAGCCUGAUGUCUGGUGUCUCUUGGCCUUUUGCGUUCGCUGAACUGGAAUAUUGGAUGUGAAGGGUGAACCUCGGACUGAUGUAGGAACGGCGCUGAUGAGGUGCGAGACAGAAGAUGAAAGAGAAUGCAGUGUUUGCUACUUGGAGCUUGUCUAAUUGCUGGAAGAGGAAAAGAAAUGUUCGCGGCAGAUGGAAUAUUGAAGAACAUCGUCUGAAUCUGAAGGGAAGAGCUGGGUAGCCACGUCGCUUUCAGAGAUCUACCCCUCCCGCCAAGCCCUUCACGGAUCACUUCUGUUCUGGAUUUCUAGACCCUGACCCAAGCUCUGCCUCACGACCACCGAUUAUCGCCUGCCUCUCAAGCUAAGUUUGCUCUCUCUGUCCUCCUGUGUAUGACCCCUGCCUGAUUAUCGACAAAGUCCCUGGGUGUUGCGUUUUGGAUCUCCUUAUGAAGAUCUUCAUUGCUUCCACAGACGCCUGUUUCACUGGCUUCCUGCACCUCCGUGUUGUCAGGCCCUCAGUUCCUCUGCUCCACCCGUCUACUGCUCUUCAGAUCAGUUAAGAUGAACAUUUCAAAGAUACCCCUCCUUUAUCUGUGAAUCACCAGCCUUCUCCCCUCUCUCCUCUGCUGUGUUUGACAACCUCUUCCUGAGCAGCAACCAGUAUCUGAAAAUAAAUUCAACUUGUUUUUUCCUUC